CCCUUAGAUGUUCUGGGCUGCACGCGUGCUACACUGAUUAUUUCAACAAGUGUUUUAACUGGAGAGUUUGCGUAAUCCUGAAAUGCUAUCGUGAUGGGAGUAGAGUAUUGUAUUUGUUAAUCUUUAACGAGGAAUUCCUAGUAAGUGUAGGUUUAUAAGUUGUUCUGAUUACGUCCCUGCCCUUUGUACACACCGCCCGUCGCUCCUACCGAUUGAUUGAUCCGGUGAAUUACAUAGAAUUUUGCGUUUUACAUGACAGAAGAUGAAGUGUUUUAAACCUUAUCAUUUAGAGGAAGGAGAAGUCGUAACA
RNAcentral lists this ribosomal RNA (310 nucleotides) under uncultured eukaryote. RNAcentral's name for it is "partial 18S ribosomal RNA". It matches the Rfam family "Eukaryotic small subunit ribosomal RNA", at positions 1470 to 1796 of the family's 1831-position model. The record is from RNAcentral.